AGAUUGAGUUUGAAACCUUCAUUUACAUCUAGUAUUUUAGUACUUGUUCUACUUGUUCUUGCUGGUUCUUCGAUUGCUUGCAGGACGAGUGCCCUAGUGGCCGGGUGUUGCGCUUCACAAGAUCGUGACAGCCAUUGGAGGCGGUGUAUCGGUUGCUAAGGCGCGGCCUUAGAAGGCUGUAGUCGGGCCGUGAACGUCAUCUCCAUUCACUAAUCGAGUUAUCCAGCGCCUCUCAUCGAAAGAUCAGGCAAAAACCCUAGUGGGUUCACAUCAGUUGGUAUCAGAGCAAAGUUUAUCGGUGAGAGAUUUCCAAUUCUUUGUGUUUGUUUUUCCUAUAGUCCAAGAAAAGCCAAAAAAUAUAGCAGAUUUGUUUUCCAUAAUCCUAUAAAUCCUUUGUGCCGUGGCUAGUACUACUUAGUUAGGGCUGGUUGAAUGAGUGUUUGCUUCGGUCGUGUCCAGUGCUGGUUUUAGUUUAGUCCUUUAGAGUUUUGAGUUCUUGUCACCAUCUAGUCACAACUGCGUCCAAUCUAUUGUGGGUUGGAAUUUGAGUAGAUCUUGAUAAUAGGUGCAGCCACUUGUUGGUCUAUUCUGCGUUUCCAUCAACGUGAUCCAAAAGGAAAGAUAACACUUCAUACUUGUGCUAGAUAUAUUGAAUUUUGAGGUUCAGCCUUACUCUAGUGAGAGGAUGAGAGUGGUGAAGUGAUAUUUUGUACUAUUUUGUUUAUAUAAUCAGGUUUUGAGGUUCCCCAAAAAAAAAGAGAGAAAAAAAAAUAAGAAAGAAAAAAAAAGAAAGAAAGAAAGAAAAAAAAAGGAAAAAAAAAUCAAAAAAAGGGGAUUGUUGUUCCUUUUGUUUCCAGUAGUGCUGCUCAUUUUGUUUCUAGUGGUGUGCUGUGUUUUUCCUUUGUGUCCAGGCUCGCGUCUCUAGCACGGUCUAGCCUAGGACCAGCACAGUACCAUCGUCGAACGCUUAUUCAGCUCGCUUUUGUAACUAAUAUGGUGCUAGUUCGUUCCUUGUUUCAGCCCACCUAUAGCUCCACAUACUCUACAGCUUGACAGGUCUUGUGCUGCAGCACCGAUACACUUCGUCCAUUGCUGUACACUUGUUGGCAGACGACCCCUCCUGUCAAGCAAGGUAAGAAUUGGUAAGAACUU
This 1152-nucleotide long non-coding RNA is filed under the name Sorghum bicolor (sorghum). RNAcentral describes it as "long non-coding RNA (SBIC_LNC018601)". Lineage: Eukaryota; Viridiplantae; Streptophyta; Magnoliopsida; Poales; Poaceae. The record is from RNAcentral.